Molecule: long non-coding RNA, 6786 nt
Organism: Pongo pygmaeus (Bornean orangutan)
Lineage: Eukaryota; Metazoa; Chordata; Mammalia; Primates; Hominidae
Exons: 2
Source: RefSeq, a predicted model, not a curated record
GCGCCCGCGAGCUCGCCCUUCCCGCUGAUUGGCCCGCGCCAAGCCAAUCAAAAUUGGCCUUCUAGGUAUGUGAACUUAGCUGACGGCUGAUUGGUCCCUCACGCAGAGACGUGGGGUCAGCGGCUCAGAGCGCGGCUGUGUGGGGCUGCGGGGCUCCCGCCAUGCCCGCUGUGGUAGGUCCCUGCAGACCCCGGCCACUGGAGCCACUCAUCAUUUCCGACGGAUGGGCCGGAGGGGCCGCCGGCCGCCCCAGCCAGGGUCUCGGUACCCUGCAAGGAGAGAAAGGUGGGAGCAGCCCGCGCGGGGCCCUGCGUCUUGCAUAGGCGCUUCUGGUAAAAUCACUCCUUUAUCUCAGAUAAUGAGUUGGCGCUGGAUCGCUGCGUCCUCAGGUGGGGCUCGAAUCGUGACUUUUAGAGAAAUAGGUUUUCUUUAACAACCUGGAGUUUAAAGGCCGCAGAAUUGGAAGCAGUCGUCACCCGGAGGCCUGGUUGUGCAAGCACCGAAGCUCUGGCUGGCCCUUAGCCUCCCCACCCCACCUGCUCUUUUCGCUUGAACGCGUGUACUUUGGGCAGUUGCUGACGUGGAGACAGGACGUAUGUCUUCAUAUUUUAGUAAAACCCAGUGCUCUCUGCCUCUCUGAUUAUGUUAAGUUAUCGCUAGUUCCAAUUUGUAUUUCUUGGAAACGGUUGGGUCUUCCCUCACUUUUCAGUAUUUUCAUGCAGACUCAAAUACUCUGGAUUAAUAUUUGUAUUUGCCCAAACCAUCACGAGCACCUCUAACCCUGAUGGGCAAUACUUCAGUGUGCUGCGUUCUGGCCACAGAGCAAACAGGGUGCUCCCAGGCACUGCCCUCUCGGAUUUCUUGCCUUGUUAUUUAAUCAUUAAGAACAUGACCUAUGAGCAGGAGUGUUUCCAGCCAGCACAUACACACAUCCUCUCCUGGCCAGCAUCCAUGCUGAUUAGGCGGUGCUCCUGCCGUACUAGCUGCCUAAUAUUUCACAUACCCCACCCCGUGUGUGUGUGUGUGUAAAUCAUGUCACUGCCCUCUUUGUAGCUAAUGACAAAAUUCCAAGAGUCACCAUUAGCCUAGCACAUUAUGCCUGUCUCAUUUCUGCCCACUUGGGAGCACUCGGCUUCUCUGCUGUCUGUUUUCCUCCUGAGCACACUGAAACAUUGCCAUAGCACAGCAAGGCAUAGAAGACAGGCUCAUGCUCCCCUGGACGCUCAGGCCUUCACCUCAGGCACACUAGGUCUUGUCAUUCCAUGUCAAGAAUAGCUCUUCACUGCCCUCACCCACCCAAGAAUGCUAAAAUUAAAAGGACUGACAAUAUCUAGUUUGUCGAGGAUGUCGCAGCUGGAACCCUCAUACAUGGCUCAUGAAAUCGAUAAAACCACAUUGGCAAACUGAUAGUAUUUACAAAACUUAAACAUAUGAAUAUCUGAUGACCAACUAAUUCCUCACCUCACCCAAGAGAAAUGAGAGCUUAUGUGUACCAGAAGACGUGAGCAAAACUACCCACAGCAGCUUUCUUCCUGAUGACCCCAAACUGGAAAUGAUCCAGAUGUCCAUCCAUAGGAGAAAAGAUUUUAAAAAGAAAGUAUGGCAUGUUCACAGAGAGGAAAUUCUGUACAACAAUGGAAAAGGGCACACAACCACAACCCACAACAAUGUGGAUGAAGCGUACAAUGAAGUCAGACCCCAGAAUGUACAGACAAUUCCAUGUGUGUGAUGUUCAAAACCAGGAAAGCAAAUCCAUCAUGACACAGGCUGGGGAUGUGAAGGAAACUCCAGCCACCCUGCCCCUGUGUUCUGAGUAACAAGGCCUAGAUCCCAAUCCUUGCUCUGCCUCUUAUCAGAGACAGGUAUCAGACAAGUUGCCUAACUUUUCUGAGCUUCAGUUUUAUGUCUAAAAUAAUGACAACCAUAGAACCAAUCCCAAGGAAGUUUCAGAAGAUCAAAUAUGAAAGAGCAUGGAAAGUGCUUAAAAACCAGGGACUGUCAUGGUAGCUCACAUCUGUAAUCCCAGCACUUUGAGAGGCCAAGGUGGGAAGAUCUCUUGAGCCCAGGAGUUUGAGACCAGCCUUGGCAACAUAGUGAGACCUCAUCUCUGCAAAAAAUUUAAAAAUUAGGCAUGGUGACACAUGCUUGUGGUCCCAGCUACGUGGGAGUUUGAGGUGGGAGGAUCACUUACGCCCAGGGGGUUGAGGAUGUAAUGAGCCAUGAUUCCAUCCAGCCUGGGUGACACGGCCAGACCUUGUCUCAAGAAAAAAAAAAAAAAAGCCAGACACAGAGUCCAGCACACGUCAGUUUGUGACGUGAGUGUGCUCCAGGCUGGAAGUUUGGCCACUACCACUGCCUGUUCUAGGCUUUUGUUUCCAAAGCCCCCAAGUAGAGGGAAAGAGGAGCAGAAUGAGAUCUUGGUGAACCCAAGGUAAUGGGGACCCAAGCCAAACCCACAGAACCUCCUUGAUCCCAAGGAGAGAGUUGCAGGCUCCUCCCAGAUCACACCUCCCCAGGCAGCCUGUACCCAGACAGAAGCAGGGUUCCUGGGCACAGUUGUGUGGUUUCUUCACUCAUCAAGGGUCCCUUGCCAAGAGCACAAGUGAGGCUUGCAUUUACCCCGUGCUCAGCUAACCAAAUCAUGCACCCCAGCCUGGGCCUUAGCCUGCUCCAAAGCAGCACCAUACAUGAAUUUACACAGGAGCACCCUGGGCUAGUGGUGGCCCUGCAGAGAGGCCUGACACCUGAACAGCAGGAGCCACCACCAGACCAGAGGGGACCAUCAACCUGGCUAGACAGGGCAGAGAAGCAGUGGGCCACUGAGGCAAACAGCCUCACUUUGACGUGCUAAUGGCUCCUUCCAGCUACGAGAGUUGCUUGGCCCAUGUGUGGGGACAGCCAUCAGCAGUGACAGGGUGGGGUGAAUGUUCCAGCCACUCUACUCUGCAGUCAGGACAACUUCAGGACGUGUUCUGCACUGGCUCCUGGCAUCCCCCGCAGGACGGCUUCAGCCGCCUAUGUCCUGACCUUCUUGGUCAUGCCUGUUGUUCCGCCUCCUGUUGUUCGAGACCAUCCUGGCUAUCACGGUGAAACCCUGUCUCUACUGAAAAUACAAAAAAUUAGCCGGGCACGGUGGUGCAUGCCUGUAGUCCCAGCUACUGGGGAGGCUGAGGAAGGAGAAUCACUUGAACCCAGGAGGCAGAGGUUGCAGUGAGCUGAGAUCAGGCCGCUGCACUCCAGCCUGGGCGACAGAGGGAGACUGUCUCAAAAAAAGAACACUGAGUACAUCGUAAGGGAUGGCGAAGAUGUGGCACAGGGGGACUCCUUCAUCUGCUCUGGAAAAUGUGGCAGUUUCUCCUCUGAUGCAACAUGUGCUUAACAUGUGACACAGCAGUCCCACUUUUAGGUAUUUAAAGGAAUGAAAACUUAUAUCCACACAAAAAAAUCACACAGAUGUUUAUAGUGAUUUUAUUGAUAAAGUGUCCAACUGGAAACUGCAAAUAUUCUUUCUGGGGACACAGAUACAUUGUGGCGCCUCCACCCUGUGAAUCCUACUCAGCAAUCCGAGGGAUGAGCGGUUGAUUCAGGCAACACCGCGGAUGGAUCUCAGGGCAUCGUGCUGAAGUCCCGCAUUCUCAGCAAGAUGCUGCUUCCCGCAGAUGGGCAAACACUGGUCUUUGGCAGAGAUGUUGCAACAGAGGUGCUUUGUUUAGUGCAGUGGCAGCAGAUGACGGCCACAGGGCAGCUGCUCUGGGGGCCUUGGAAACUACAAAUGCUCAAACCCCCUUCCCAGAAGCCACAUCUCAGCGUGCAGGAACUGGGGUGUGCAUCUCUCCCAACAGCUUCCUGGUGACGCCGAGCUUCACACCCACCCAAUCCACGGGAGCAAUCCGACUGGCCUGCAUGGCAGACGGUGGCCCAGUGGCCAUUACCUCUUUGCUUUGCUCAGGAACUGGGUGGAACGUGCCCGGGGAAGGUAGCCCCAGAACUUCAAGGGAGCCAUGACAGACUCAAGCCUCAUGGAAACCCCUUUCCCUGGGCCAGAGUUGGUUCCUGGGUGGCGUGGGGCUGGCUCUGGCCAGGGCGGAGUCGGCCCCUGCUGAGGUUUCUGGGAAUUAUGUGCCUCCCAGGUGGAGAGGAAGACAACUGAGGGCACAGCAUCUCACUAGCCCCUCCUCAGCCACCAGGUGCCAAGCCAGGUGUCACCCGAGCCAAGCAGCACACGACCGCCCCUGCCCACUUCCACCUCAGCCCUGACCCUCCCUGCACCUGGGAGUCCACUGCCUCCUGAUGUGUCUGUGAUCGGGGCGGCCACAAGAGCACGUAUCCCGGGACAUGAUGUGUUGUGGUCUGUGUGGGGUCAGAGCCAUCAGUGUUCACUGCCGUGUCCCCAGUGCUUAGCACUGUUUGCCGCAUGGGAGGUGCAGGUCACAACCCCGUAGUGCCCAGUGGCCCGGGGGACACCUGGCUUGUCUGGGCCUGUUGGCUGACAGGUGGGAGGGACUGCCAUCCAUUGUUGGGGCCAAGGAUGCCGCUUAACCUCCCACAACGCAUGGAGCGGCCCUGCGCACAGACUUACCCGGCCCCAAACACCAACUGUGCCGAGGUGAUGCUCUGCCCCGAGGGAAGCGGACAAGGCUUGAGCAUCGAGAACACUGCAAGGGUCUCAGCCAGUGAGGGGCUGCCUGGGCCCCACCGCAGUCCUGACUCCUAGAGCCAAGCCGUUUUCUCCCUUGAGGCAGUGGGUAGGGCUCUCACGUGACAACCUUGGGUUUGCAGCUCGGCUGUGCACACAGGUGGACCCUCCGUGCUUUGUCAGUUCCUACUGCUUGGCCCUGGGGCCGGAAGCUGCUUCUCAGGCCUCACUCUGAGAAGCAUCUUCACGCCCUGGGUGGGUCCAUUGCCUCUUUCCACCAACUCUGCUCCUUGGGAAGGGCAUGUUCAUCAGCAGGGCCAGGCAGGGAGCGCUCAGGACAGCCAGACCCGGGGCCAGUGGCAUCGGUAUGUGUGGGAAGGGGCACCAGGUACCUGUCCUCCCUGUGGGCAGAGCUGUCUGUCCUCUGCAGACCUGCAGUUUCUGUAAACAUCCUGGAAGAAGCCAGGAAGCAGCAACUCCAGAUGCCCAGAGGAGCCCCAGCCAAGGCAGAUGUAGCCAGGGCAUCAGGCCGUGGGGCUGGGCAAGGUGAGCCACAGGUUGGAAAGGCAGGGGCGCACGGCAGAUGGGGAUGCCGAAGCCAGAUGCUGACCGAGCUCCACCCACAUUUGUGAGGGGCAUGAGGGCUGCGCCAUCAGAGGCCUUAGCUGGCUCCAGGCUUGAAUUGUGAGUCCCAAGAGCCCAAGUUUUAUUCCCACGCGGCCGCGGUGUGCCAGGCUUAGCCUCCCUGUGUUUCUGUAAAACAGCACCCUCGGUUUUUAUAUGAGAACCGAAUUCAAGGUACUAGAAGUCCUCAUAUGGGAAGGGAAAAGUCGUGGUUUCAUAAGCAAUACACUCUGGCUGAGCCCAAGUUAAGAUUUUCAAUCCAAGUUCAUCAGCGCCCAGCUUUGGCUGGGACUGCUCUGGCUGCACCUGCUGUGUGAGCUGGCGCUUCUGAUUCAACACCGCACUUGGUGAAAGGGUCCCAGAACAACUGACACUGAGAGUCACCAGCGGCGGCUCUUCCUAGAGGAGCAUGUUCAGGAGAGGUGAGGCUGCGGGGCUGGGGCCCUGCGCUAAUACUCCCUGGCUGUGUGACCCUGGGCAAAUUACUCAGCCUCUCUGAGCUGCUGCUUCCUCUCCUGUGGAGUGGGCUGAUCCCAGCCACACCAGCACCCCUGGUUGUUCCAUGGUUAAUGUCUGCCAAACACAGUGCCAUGGAGAACACCCAGCAGAGCCCAGCUGCUUGUUUGCUGGGGAGGGACAGCGCUGCAGGGGCACCUCCCCCUGGCCCUCCAGCACCUUUCCACCUUGCUUCCAGGACCUCCGCGGCUCAGAGGCAGUGCAGGUGGGCUUCAGCGACAGCAGGGAGGGCCCACGCCGGCACACAAGGAAGAAGGGAAGGCGCCAGGGAUCGCCCCCCUCAGGAAGAAGAGGGACAGAGGCAAAGAUAGGAAGGACACACAUUGUGCCUUCUGUCACUUGGGCAUUUUCAAGUCAAAAUGGGGAGGGGGCUGGGGUAGGUUCGGAAACUAUCGAAAUGGCAUUGUUUGUUUCACAUUGCUGGCUGGGGGCAAGCCCUCUGCCGUGACCCUAAAUGCCCACUAGAGGUCACACCGCAAAAAGAGACCUCCCCCAAGGAGAGGGGACAAAGGGAGGACCCUGGGCACCCUGCCUCCUGCAGGGGGAGGAAGGAUGAAGCCCCGCCAUCCAUUGGGUGGGAAAAGUGCCAUGCCUCCAGCAGCACAGCCAAGCGGCCCCCCGAGGGAGGAGUGAGCUCCAUAUGGGCCCAGGUGAUCUGGCCACAACACCCUCUCUGCCUCCGCCUCACCUGCUGGUGUUGGGCACGGCCAGCCUGGGCAGCCACCAGCCCUCGCUGCCCAUCUGCUGUCCCCUCAACCCCCCAGCAGCAGACAGAAAAGUGCAGGGUCUGAGCCCCCCCGGGGAUGCUGGUGUCAGACAGAUCCCUGGAGAACAAAGCCUGUGCCCUUGUGUCCAGGUGAGGCUGCGGCACCCAGGCCCGAAGCAGGCCCCCCCAGCUGGGCCAUCCCCGCUCUCGGAGCAAGAGGGGAACUGCAGCAGGCAGCAGCCUUCUACUCGUUCCCCACGUCCUGAUUUUUUUUCAUUUUAAAAUAAAAUACGUAAGAGAAACG